RNAcentral lists this ribosomal RNA (253 nucleotides) under uncultured bacterium. RNAcentral describes it as "partial 16S ribosomal RNA". It matches the Rfam family "Bacterial small subunit ribosomal RNA", at positions 524 to 776 of the family's 1533-position model. The record is from RNAcentral.
UCCGAAGGGGGCUAUCGUUGCUCGGAAUCACUGGGCGUAAAGGGUGCGUAGGCGGGUCUUUAAGUCAGGGGUGAAAUCCUGGAGCUCAACUCCAGAACUGCCUUUGAUACUGAAGAUCUUGAGUUCGGGAGAGGUGAGUGGAACUGCGAGUGUAGAGGUGAAAUUCGUAGAUAUUCGCAAGAACACCAGUGGCGAAGGCGGCUCACUGGCCCGAUACUGACGCUGAGGCACGAAAGCGUGGGGAGAAAACAGG